Molecule: regulatory RNA element, 156 nt
Organism: Syntrophobotulus glycolicus DSM 8271
Lineage: Bacteria; Bacillati; Bacillota; Clostridia; Eubacteriales; Desulfitobacteriaceae
Rfam family: Ribosomal protein L10 leader
About the family: This family is a putative r-protein leader autoregulatory structure found in B. subtilis and other low-GC Gram-positive bacteria. It is located in the 5' untranslated regions of mRNAs encoding ribosomal proteins L10 and L12 (rplJ-rplL).
Source: Rfam
GACAAUAAAAUAUUUCCGCUUAAGACAGUAGGUGCUUCAUUUAGCUUAAUGUCCUGCCGAGGUGGUGCUUUGUUUUGAUUAGAAGUCUUUUGAUAUUGCUCUGAUUAUGACAUUGACAAACCUCUGCAUGAAAGCGGAGGUUUUUUGAUUACCGGU